GUUUUCCCACAAGCCAUCGCGAGGCUGAUGUUCGUUAACUUGCGGAUAUCUAUUGCGACGAGUUGCGUUGCGCUUUUAGGGUUCCGCAGUAGUUUCACGUUAAACGUUGGUACGUCGCCGAGAAACACAAGCCUUUGCCGAAUGAGCCAGCGUCGUAUUUCACCUUUCUUCGGAGGAUUCAUACCGUGCUGUUCAGCGCCGGCUUAGAUUCAGCGAUAUUUCGAAUAUGAUUGUAGGCAAAUACUGUGCAAGUGGGUGUCCCUUGUUUGACUGCCAAAGGCAAAGAAAAAUGGAGUGGCCACUUAAUGAGCGCUUAGGUGUUACGUGACUGAACGAGUGGUGGUAGGCACACCACGCUGUGUGGUGCAUGAUGUGCUUUGUUGGUCUUUUAAGUGGAAAAUAGAUCCCAGCACAGAGGAAUCGAUGUGUGGACAAAAAGAGAAUGCAAUCACCAUGUCAAACUUCGUACAUUCAAGAAAGCUUGAUAUCAGUAAUAAAUAUUUGCCUCUUGACAGGCAGCUGGUACUGAAAGAC
Molecule: long non-coding RNA, 534 nt
Organism: Dermacentor silvarum
Lineage: Eukaryota; Metazoa; Arthropoda; Arachnida; Ixodida; Ixodidae
Exons: 3
Source: RefSeq, a predicted model, not a curated record